AGAGUUUGAUCCUGGCUCAGGACGAACGCUGGCGGCGUGCCUAACACAUGCAAGUCGAGCGAUGAAACCCUUCGGGGUGGAUUAGCGGCGGACGGGUGAGUAACACGUGGGUAACCUGCCUCAAAGAGGGGGAUAGCCUCCCGAAAGGGAGAUUAAUACCGCAUAACAUUAGCUUUUCGCAUGGAGAGCUAAUUAAAGGAGUAAUCCGCUUUGAGAUGGACCCGCGGCGCAUUAGCUAGUUGGUGAGGUAAAGGCUCACCAAGGCGACGAUGCGUAGCCGACCUGAGAGGGUGAUCGGCCACAUUGGAACUGAGACACGGUCCAGACUCCUACGGGAGGCAGCAGUGGGGAAUAUUGCACAAUGGGCGAAAGCCUGAUGCAGCAACGCCGCGUGAGUGAUGAAGGCCUUCGGGUUGUAAAGCUCUGUCUUUGGGGACGAUAAUGACGGUACCCAAGGAGGAAGCCACGGCUAACUACGUGCCAGCAGCCGCGGUAAUACGUAGGUGGCGAGCGUUGUCCGGAUUUACUGGGCGUAAAGGAUGCGUAGGUGGAUGUUUAAGUCAGAUGUGAAAUACCCGAGCUUAACUUGGGUGCUGCAUUUGAAACUGGAUAUCUAGAGUGCAGGAGAGGUAAGUGGAAUUCCUAGUGUAGCGGUGAAAUGCGUAGAGAUUAGGAAGAACACCAGUGGCGAAGGCGACUUACUGGACUGUAACUGACACUGAGGCAUGAAAGCGUGGGUAGCAAACAGGAUUAGAUACCCUGGUAGUCCACGCCGUAAACGAUGAGUACUAGGUGUAGGGGGGUCCAACCUUCUGUGCCGCAGUUAACACAAUAAGUACUCCGCCUGGGAAGUACGAUCGCAAGAUUAAAACUCAAAGGAAUUGACGG
RNAcentral lists this ribosomal RNA (888 nucleotides) under uncultured bacterium. RNAcentral's name for it is "bacterial SSU rRNA". It matches the Rfam family "Bacterial small subunit ribosomal RNA", at positions 8 to 916 of the family's 1533-position model. The record is from RNAcentral.